ACCUUAAUGAAAAAUAAUAAUGCUGAAAAACAAACCAGAUAUUUACCUGUUCCUUGCACUCAGGGAACAGGCAAUGUUGAGGGAUACCUGGGGUCCUCGAAGCACCUGUUAGCAGUUUGGCUAGUGGUUUCAAGAAAAGCCGCAGCAGGGAUGGACUCGAUACAGAGGAACGCACUGUUAUGAUCAGACGUCAGAACGGACAGCUUGUGAGUGAUCAGAUCGACCCUACAGGUGAAUGAUGCGCGC
RNAcentral lists this long non-coding RNA (246 nucleotides) under Sinocyclocheilus anshuiensis. RNAcentral describes it as "lncRNA (ENSSANG00000001198.1)". Lineage: Eukaryota; Metazoa; Chordata; Actinopteri; Cypriniformes; Cyprinidae. The record is from RNAcentral.